GAAUGGGGAUCGAUUUAGCCAUGCUAGUUGUACGAGUUUAGACUCGUAGCAGAUAGCUCAGUAACACGUGGCCAAACUACCCUAUGGAUCCGGACAACCUCGGGAAACUGAGGCUAAUCCGGAAUACGGCUCUCAGCCUGGAAGUGGCGAGAGUCAGAAACGCUCCGGCGCCAUAGGAUGUGGCUGCGGCCGAUUAGGUAGACGGUGGGGUAACGGCCCACCGUGCCCAUAAUCGGUACGGGUUGUGAGAGCAAGAGCCCGGAGACGGUAUCUGAGACAAGAUACCGGGCCCUACGGGGCGCAGCAGGCGCGAAACCUUUACACUGCACGACAGUGCGAUAAGGGGACUCCAAGUGCGAGGGCAUAUAGUCCUCGCUUUUCACCACCGUAAGGAGGUGGUAGAAUAAGUGCUGGGCAAGACCGGUGCCAGCCGCCGCGGUAAUACCGGCAGCACGAGUGAUGACCGCUCUUAUUGGGCCUAAAGCGUCCGUAGCUGGCCACGCAAGUCUAUCGGGAAAUCCGCGCGCUCAACGCGCGGGCGUCCGGUGGAAACUGCGUGGCUUGGGACCGGAAGAUCAAAAGGGUACGUCUGGGGUAGGAGUGAAAUCCCGUAAUCCUGGACGGACCACCGGUGGCGAAAGCGCUCUCUGAAAGACGGAUCCGACGGUGAGGGACGAAAGCUCGGGUCACGAACCGGAUU
This 700-nucleotide ribosomal RNA is filed under the name Haloterrigena sp. S1LM16. RNAcentral's name for it is "bacterial SSU rRNA". It matches the Rfam family "Archaeal small subunit ribosomal RNA", at positions 31 to 730 of the family's 1478-position model. Lineage: Archaea; Methanobacteriati; Methanobacteriota; Halobacteria; Halobacteriales; Natrialbaceae. The record is from RNAcentral.